UACGUAGGGGGCAAGCGUUGUCCGGAAUCAUUGGGCGUAAAGCGCGUGUAGGCGGCCCGGCAAGUCCGCUGUGAAAGUCGGGGGCUCAACCCUCGGAUGCCGGUGGAUACUGUCGGGCUAGAGUGCGGAAGAGGCGAGUGGAAUUCCUGGUGUAGCGGUGAAAUGCGCAGAUAUCAGGAGGAACACCGAUGGCGAAGGCAGCUCGCUGGGACGGUACUGACGCUGAGGCGCGAAAGCGUGGGGAGCAAACAGG
This 253-nucleotide ribosomal RNA is filed under the name uncultured bacterium. Its description in RNAcentral is "partial 16S ribosomal RNA". It matches the Rfam family "Bacterial small subunit ribosomal RNA", at positions 524 to 776 of the family's 1533-position model. The record is from RNAcentral.